Molecule: long non-coding RNA, 1533 nt
Organism: Prunus persica (peach)
Lineage: Eukaryota; Viridiplantae; Streptophyta; Magnoliopsida; Rosales; Rosaceae
Exons: 3
Source: RefSeq, a predicted model, not a curated record
UCUCUCUCUCUCUUUGAAAGUAUGAACCUAUAAAUAAACAAGAGCUACAUCAAUCUCAUUAGAUACUACCAAGCUACAUUGCAUUUUCAGCCAGAGAAAGGGGAAGCGAUAUCACCAGAGUGCUUUGCUUGAUUAAGAGACACAGAGAAGAGAAGAGAAAGAGAUGCCGCCACCUGGACCGGGAGGCCCACCGGGCUUUGGUUGCUUAGGCGCCCUCUGUAGCGGUAUAUGCCGCCUUUUAUCAUCUUGUGCUUAUGUCCUGUGCUGCUGCUGCCUGUUUGAGAGCUGCUGUGGACCCAUGUUUGGUGGGGGAUUUGGCGGUCCUGGUGGUCCCGGUGGUGGACCUGGUGGACCCGGUGGUGGACCUGGCGGGCCCCCUCGCUUUUGAAUAUGAGCUGGCUGCUGCUGCUGCCUGUGAUCUUCUGCAUAAUGUUGAGUUUCAAGUUCAAUAUGUAAUAACAAGUGUGAGAUGUUGGCAUGUUGCUGCUGUUUUUGCAACCUGCAACUCAAUAUUCUCCCUAUUUUAGCCCAUAUUUGUGUUUAUUUUGCAAUUUAUUUUUCAUUUGUUUUUGUUUUUUGAGCAGAAUUAAUUAGUAUUAAUGUUAUAUAUUUUGUAACCUUUGUUUACCAGAUGAUCCACCAUCCAUGACAAUUAAAUAAAAUCUCUUCCUUUUUUUCCCCAUUAUGAUUCAUGAAUAUAUAUAUAUAUAUAUAUCUCUUCCUAACCUAAAGCUAUUAAGCUAAAUAAUCAUUUAAAACUUACUUCUUUUAAUAAGAAAUUUAAAGGUUACAUAUUAAUUUUGGUGGGGGUGGCUGGUGGGUUCUUUACUUACCUUUCCUUACCUACCAGUCACUCCAAUAUAAAUAAAAUAAAUAAAGGCCUAACUAGAAACUUCUUGUACAUUCCAUUAAUUCCAAACCGUCUUCCCUUCCCUGCACUGCAACUCUAUAAAAAUAUGCACUUCUAGUGAAUUAGAGAGAGACAGAGAGAGAGAGAGUGAGAGAUGCCGGGUUGGGGACCGCCGCCGGGAGGACCUCCAGGGCCGGCAGGGCCAUGUGGCUGCUGUGCUUUCUGUUGUGAUGGAAUUUUCAGGCUUUUUUCUUCAUGUUUCUAUCUCUUGUGCUGCUGUUGCAUCCUAGAGAACUGCUGUGGACCUAUGUUUGGUGGGCCACCUGGACCCCCUGGCCCACCUGGCGGGCCCCCUGGACCUCCCCCGCCUUGGUAGAUAGAUCAUGUGUGUGACAUAUCGAUCACGAGUACAUUUAUGCAUAUACCAUAUAUCAACCUAGCUACCUACUUGAAAUUUGAGAUGAUGUUGUAUUAAUUUGUUGAAACAAUCGCUUCCUAGGUAUUUCACUGUUUGCCCUCUUUUAUGCUUAUUCUGUGUGUAAACAAGUUGUUGCUUUAGGGUUUUCUUUAUGCCAUUCUAGUUUUUUUUUUUUCUUUCUACUGUUAUGGUAUUUAUGACUUGGGUUUGUAUUAGAGUUAAAUGAUUAUGAACCCAAAAAGGACGUAAUUUUGACCGUUUAAAA